This 1627-nucleotide long non-coding RNA is filed under the name Olea europaea subsp. europaea. Lineage: Eukaryota; Viridiplantae; Streptophyta; Magnoliopsida; Lamiales; Oleaceae. The record is from RNAcentral.
ACCAUCUUCCCAACACCAGCCACACUCUUACCCUUGACCCUCAAAAAUCAAACCAACAAAAAAAAAAAAAACAAAAAACUCACCCACCAUCCAUCAACGGCCACUGCCACCACCAUAUGAUGCCACAUUGCAAUCCAAAACCCAUUCCAAGAACCCCCAAACAAUCCCUCAAAACCCAGUAAAAACAAUGGUUUAUUACCUAUUUCAAAAUCAACAACCCAGGGCAAAGGCAAGAUCGACUAUGUACACCGGAGCCAACCACCGAGUCGAAACCAAGCUACAUGAGGUCCCACCAAGUGAGAGAUUUCUUCAUUUCAUUUUCAGAUUUUUCUUGCAUUUGAUCAACUCCCCGACUUCGUUGGAGCACCCAGAAGUCCAUCUUUGAGGCGAUACAGGGUAUUAGAGAGAGCUGAAAUGUAAGUUGACAAAUUCUAGAAGGUGGGUUCGGACUUCAAGGUAGAAAUCUUGUUUGUUGAUUCGUCAAUAUGAUCUAUCGGAGGCAGUGCUGACUGCAACAAAGGAUCCAUCCCAACGACACAUGGGUUGAGGAUAGUUGUUAAAUUUGGAACAAAAUCUUGGGAGAUUUUAAUUCCCAUCUGAGGUAGAAGUUUGGGUGGAUAAUGCUAUACGACCCAAGUUGGGUUACAAACUUGGGUAACAAAAUGACGUGUAGGGUUGAGAUUAAAAGGCAGUGGAUGGCUGUGAUUUAUUAACAGUAAAAAUUGGGUCAAAAAGGUGCCAAAACCAAAACCCGGUCUCUGCGUAAUGGAAGGAAGACGAAAUCAGGUCAGUGGAAGGCGCCAAAGACAUUUCCCCAUCUUCUACUACCUCACCUUGCAUUUCACGUCCUAAAAUCCACACUCAUGUUUCGUAGAAGAAAGGCAGCAAGUGCCAUGUCUGAUCUCCAUCUCCGGCAGUGGUCAAUCCGAUCUCCAUCUUGGACAGGUCCAGCUCCAUCUCCGGCAGUGGCAGUCCAAUCCCAUCUUCGACAGGUCCGGCUCCAUCUCCGGUUGUAGGUAUGUUCCAUUAAUUGCAAAAAUUAAUUUUAAACUCUGUUAUACUAGUGCCUGCAUUUUUUGUAUUCUAUAGACGAACAAUUUGGACGUCUUUUCAACAUUUUGUUUGUUCAAACAUUACAACCCUCUAGCUUACCUCAGACUUCAUGCUUAUUUGGCAUAUUUGGUCUCGAAAUUUAGUCCACUUGAGCUAGACUCUAUUAAGUUGACAUUUAGUUCCCAGUGUGAAAAUAAUACUCAUAUUUGACAUUUAGGAUUUUAUGAAUUGAGUAUUGUGUGCGGGGUUAUUGACUACUGUGAUUUUGAACUCAAUCUAAGCAAUUUCCUUGUCCUUUUUUUUUCCAAAUAACAGGUGAGCACAUAAGGUUUCUGGUGUCAAUAAAGUUUGAGGAGAAGAAUGUGGAAUACGACGUGGAAGACUGAGAAAGCUAAAGGAGAACAGUUGGAGAAGGAAAGCUUAUUUUGGGAUGUAAGGCAGAGGUUGUGUAUAUGUUUGGGAUCCAGUUGCUAACAGGGGAAUUUGGAUUUGGAUUUUGAUUGUGGUUUAAUAAAAGUUCCGAUAUGAAUGUCGAUGAGUAUUAUGUAAGAGCUGCUUAUGAAAAAGAAGUGAA